RNAcentral lists this ribosomal RNA (527 nucleotides) under uncultured bacterium. RNAcentral's name for it is "bacterial SSU rRNA". It matches the Rfam family "Bacterial small subunit ribosomal RNA", at positions 28 to 526 of the family's 1533-position model. The record is from RNAcentral.
GACGAACGCUGGCGGCGUGCCUAAUACAUGCAAGUUGAACGCUAAAGCUUUAACUGGUGCUUGCACCGACUUAAGUUUUUAGAGUAGCGGACGGGUGAGUAACACGUGGGUAACCUGCCAUCAGAGGGGGAUAACACUUGGAAACAGGUGCUAAUACCGCAUAACAGUUUAUGCCGCAUGGCAUAAGAGUGAAAGGCGCUUUCGGGUGUCGCUGAUGGAUGGACCCGCGGUGCAUUAGCUAGUUGGUGAGGUAACGGCUCACCAAGGCCACGAUGCAUAGCCGACCUGAGAGGGUGAUCGGCCACACUGGGACUGAGACACGGCCCAGACUCCUACGGGAGGCAGCAGUAGGGAAUCUUCGGCAAUGGACGAAAGUCUGACCGAGCAACGCCGCGUGAGUGAAGAAGGUUUUCGGAUCGUAAAACUCUGUUGUUAGAGAAGAACAGGAGAAGUAGUAACUGGCUUCUUUUUGACGGUAUCUAACCAGAAAGCCACGGCUAACUACGUGCCAGCCGCCGCAGUAACAC